GGGUCAGUAGGUUGGUCGUGCCACCGGUACGUACUGGUCUCACUGAUUCCUCCCUCCUGAAGAACCGUAAUGCCAUUAAUUUGGUGUUGCGGGGAAGCAGGACUGUUACUUUGAAAAAAUUAGAGUGUUUAAAGCAAGCUAACGCUUGAAUACAUUAGCAUGGAAUAAUGAAAUAGGACGAUCGAUCCUAUUUUGUUGGUUUCUAGGAUUGACGUA
RNAcentral lists this ribosomal RNA (216 nucleotides) under Glomeromycotina sp. RNAcentral describes it as "partial small subunit ribosomal RNA". The stretch from base 75 to 216 matches the Rfam family "Eukaryotic small subunit ribosomal RNA", at positions 721 to 864 of the family's 1831-position model. Lineage: Eukaryota; Fungi; Glomeromycota. The record is from RNAcentral.